AGCGAACGCUGGCGGCAGGCCUAACACAUGCAAGUCGAACGAACCUUUCGGGGUUAGUGGCGGACGGGUGAGUAACACGUGGGAACGUGCCUUUAGGUUCGGAAUAACUCAGGGAAACUUGUGCUAAUACCGAAUGUGCCCUUCGGGGGAAAGAUUUAUCGCCUUUAGAGCGGCCCGCGUCUGAUUAGCUAGUUGGUUGAGGUAAUGGCUCACCAAGGCGAAGAUCAGUAGCUGGUCUGAGAGGAUGAUCAGCCACAUUGGGACUGAGACACGGCCCAAACUCCUACGGGAGGCAGCAGUGGGGAAUCUUGCGCAAUGGGCGAAAGCCUGACGCAGCCAUGCCGCGUGAAUGAUGAAGGUCUUAGGAUUGUAAAAUUCUUUCACCGGGGACGAUAAUGACGGUACCCGGAGAAGAAGCCCCGGCUAACUUCGUG
RNAcentral lists this ribosomal RNA (434 nucleotides) under uncultured bacterium. RNAcentral's name for it is "partial 16S ribosomal RNA". It matches the Rfam family "Bacterial small subunit ribosomal RNA", at positions 29 to 507 of the family's 1533-position model. The record is from RNAcentral.